This 73-nucleotide transfer RNA is filed under the name Bacteroidales bacterium. Its description in RNAcentral is "tRNA-Lys". It matches the Rfam family "tRNA". From Rfam's summary of the family: Transfer RNA (tRNA) molecules are approximately 80 nucleotides in length. Their secondary structure includes four short double-helical elements and three loops (D, anti-codon, and T loops). Further hydrogen bonds mediate the characteristic L-shaped molecular structure. tRNAs have two regions of fundamental functional importance: the anti-codon, which is responsible for specific mRNA codon recognition, and the 3' end, to which the tRNAs corresponding amino acid is attached (by aminoacyl-tRNA synthetases). tRNAs cope with the degeneracy of the genetic code in two manners: having more than one tRNA (with a specific anti-codon) for a particular amino acid; and 'wobble' base-pairing, i.e. permitting non-standard base-pairing at the 3rd anti-codon position. The record is from RNAcentral. Lineage: Bacteria; Pseudomonadati; Bacteroidota; Bacteroidia; Bacteroidales.
GGUCGCGUAGCUCAGCAGGUAGAGCACAUCCCUUUUAAGGAUGGGGUCCUGGGUUCGAAUCCCAGCGCUACCA